AAGACUAUACUUUCAGGGAUCAUUUCUAUAGUUUGCUAUUUCCCCACCAUCUGUCAACUCAGAGCCUCUUCUUUCCAAGAAGACAGUUCUAAACUGAAGUGACUGAAGCUCCUUCGCAGGCUUCCUCUGGG
RNAcentral lists this small nucleolar RNA (131 nucleotides) under Canis lupus familiaris (dog). RNAcentral's name for it is "Small nucleolar RNA U3 (multiple genes)". It matches the Rfam family "Small nucleolar RNA U3". Rfam says of the family: Small nucleolar RNAs (snoRNAs) are involved in the processing and modification of rRNA in the nucleolus. Lineage: Eukaryota; Metazoa; Chordata; Mammalia; Carnivora; Canidae. The record is from Rfam by way of RNAcentral. RNAcentral also lists the same sequence under 1 other name.